UUGAGAGUUUGAUCCUGGCUCAGAACGAACGCUGGCGGCGCGCUUAACACAUGCAAGUCGAACGGGUCGGUGCGGAGCACCGGGCGGACUAUGUCUUAUAAGCCUUAUAGGACUUAUUCCUUCCGAUGCUUCGCAUCGGUUAGUGGCGAACGGGUGAGUAAUACAUAGGUAACCUGCCUUUAGGAUGGGGAUACUCCCGAGAAAUCGGGCACAAUACCGAAUAUGAUUCCGGGGUGAAAGUCCCUGGGAUAAAAGUCCCGAGCAAUCGGGACGCCUGAAGAGGGGCCUGUGGCCUAUCAGCUUGUUGGUGAGGUAACGGCUCACCAAGGCUAAGACGGGUAGCCGGACUGAGAGGUCGAUCGGCCACACUGGAACUGAGACACGGUCCAGACUCCUACGGGAGGCAGCAGUGGGGAA
This 417-nucleotide ribosomal RNA is filed under the name Nitrospiraceae bacterium. RNAcentral's name for it is "bacterial SSU rRNA". It matches the Rfam family "Bacterial small subunit ribosomal RNA", at positions 1 to 361 of the family's 1533-position model. The record is from RNAcentral. Lineage: Bacteria; Pseudomonadati; Nitrospirota; Nitrospiria; Nitrospirales; Nitrospiraceae.